AUUGAACGCUGGCGGCAGGCCUAACACAUGCAAGUCGAGCGGAUGAAGGGAGCUUGCUCCUGGAUUCAGCGGCGGACGGGUGAGUAAUGCCUAGGAAUCUGCCUGGUAGUGGGGGAUAACGUCCGGAAACGGGCGCUAAUACCGCAUACGUCCUGAGGGAGAAAGUGGGGGAUCUUCGGACCUCGCGCUAUCAGAUGAGCCUAGGUCGGAUUAGCUAGUUGGUGGGGUAAAGGCCUACCAAGGCGACGAUCCGUAACUGGUCUGAGAGGAUGAUCAGUCACACUGGAACUGAGACACGGUCCAGACUCCUACGGGAGGCAGCAGUGGGGAAUAUUGGACAAUGGGCGAAAGCCUGAUGCAGCAAUGCCGCGUGUGUGAAGAAGGUCUUCGGAUUGUAAAGCACUUUAAGUUGGGAGGAAGGGCAGUAAGUUAAUACCUGGCUGUUUUGACGUUACCAAAAGAAUAAGCACCGGCUAACUUCGUG
Molecule: ribosomal RNA, 484 nt
Filed under: uncultured bacterium
Lineage: Bacteria
Description: partial 16S ribosomal RNA
Rfam family: Bacterial small subunit ribosomal RNA
Source: RNAcentral